UACGUAGGGUGCAAGCGUUAAUCGGAAUUACUGGGCGUAAAGCGUGCGCAGGCGGUUUUGUAAGUCUGUCGUGAAAUCCCCGGGCUCAACCUGGGAAUUGCGAUGGAGACUGCAAGGCUAGAAUCUGGCAGAGGGGGGUAGAAUUCCACGUGUAGCAGUGAAAUGCGUAGAGAUGUGGAGGAAUACCGAUGGCGAAGGCAGCCCCUGGGAUCAACACUAGGACG
Molecule: ribosomal RNA, 224 nt
Filed under: uncultured bacterium
Lineage: Bacteria
Description: partial 16S ribosomal RNA
Rfam family: Bacterial small subunit ribosomal RNA
Source: RNAcentral